AUUGAACGCUGGCGGCAUGCUUUACACAUGCAAGUCGAACGGUAACAGGCCUUCGGGUGCUGACGAGUGGCGAACGGGUGAGUAAUGCAUCGGAACGUGCCCAAUCGUGGGGGAUAACGUAGCGAAAGUUACGCUAAUACCGCAUAAGCCCUGAGGGGGAAAGUGGGGGACCGCGAGGCCUCACGCGAAUGGAGCGGCCGAUGUCAGAUUAGCUAGUUGGUGGGGUAAAGGCCCACCAAGGCGACGAUCUGUAGCGGGUCUGAGAGGAUGAUCCGCCACACUGGAACUGAGACACGGUCCAGACUCCUACGGGAGGCAGCAGUGGGGAAUUUUGGACAAUGGGCGCAAGCCUGAUCCAGCCAUGCCGCGUGAGUGAAGAAGGCCUCGGUU
This 390-nucleotide ribosomal RNA is filed under the name uncultured bacterium. RNAcentral's name for it is "bacterial SSU rRNA". It matches the Rfam family "Bacterial small subunit ribosomal RNA", at positions 29 to 424 of the family's 1533-position model. The record is from RNAcentral.